CACCUACGGGUGGCUGCAGUCGAGAAUCAUCCGCAAUGGGCGAAAGCCUGACGGUGCGACGCCGCGUGGAGGAUGAAGGCCUUCGGGUUGUAAACUCCUGUCACAGGUUAAGAAUGUCCUAUCAUUAAUAGUGGUAGGGUUGACGUAACCCUGAGAGGAAGCACUGGCUAACUCUGUGCCAGCAGUCGCGGUAAGACAGAGGAGGCAAGCGUUGUUCGGAAUCACUGGGCUUAAAGCGCGUGUAGGCGGCUUGGUAAGUGUCGUGUGAAAUCCCAUGGCUCAACCAUGGAACUGCACGGCAAACUACCUAGCUUGAGGUCGGUAGAGGUGCCUGGAACUCUAGGUGGAGCGGUGAAAUGCGUAGAUAUCUAGAGGAACGCCAGAAGCGAAAGCGGGGCACUGGGCCGAUUCUGACGCUGAGACGCGAAAGCGUGGGGAGCAAACAGGAUUAGAUACCCUGGUAGUCCACGCCGUAAACGAUGCACACUAGACGUUGGGGCCUCUGACGGAACCGGCGUCGUAGCAAAAGUGCUAAGUGUGCCGCCUGGGGAGUACGGCCGCAAGGCUAAAACUCAAAGGAAUUGACGGGGGCUCACACAAGCGGUGGAG
RNAcentral lists this ribosomal RNA (609 nucleotides) under uncultured bacterium. Its description in RNAcentral is "bacterial SSU rRNA". It matches the Rfam family "Bacterial small subunit ribosomal RNA", at positions 335 to 937 of the family's 1533-position model. The record is from RNAcentral.